This is a non-coding RNA of Equus caballus (horse), 676 nucleotides long. The record is from the annotation of a RefSeq genome assembly. NCBI's taxonomy places the organism in Eukaryota, Metazoa, Chordata, Mammalia, Perissodactyla, Equidae.
UCAAACUGCAGUCACUCCUUCCCUUUUCUUUCCAAAAGGUAGUGGCAGAUAACAUUUCUUUGUGUCCUGAAGAAGCUUGUACAAGGGAAACCCAUUUAGGAGCAGCCAGAUUCAGCAACUCUUUCUGAGGAGGAUGAAGAGGGAGAAGCUACUCAUGGUACCAGCGCUGAUCAUAUGGAUGCAAGUAUCACAAGUGAAUGGACAACAGAUACAGCAAAUUCCUCCAUCCCUGCUCCUACAGGAAGGAGAGAACUUCACCACCUACUGCAAUUCCUCAAGCACUUUAAACAGGUUGCAGUGGUAUAAGCAGAGGCCUGGGGGAAGUCCUGUUCUCUUGAUGAUGGUAGUUACAGGUGGAGACGUGCAGAAGCAGGAAAGGCUGACAGCUCGGUUUGGAGAGACUAGAAAGCACAGCUCCCUGCACAUCACAGCCGCCCAGACUGCAGAUGUGGGGACCUAUUUCUGCGCAGGGGCACAGAGCUCUCGAAGCACCUGCUGCCUGUCCCCAAACCUCGCUGUGGGCUCCAGGAGCAGCUCCUCCUCUCUCUUCUCAGAACAGGAGUCAGAGAAAGCUGAAGUCACAAUAUCCUUGAAAAAGUUAAAUUUUCAAUUAAAAAAAUAUCCAGGCCGUUGCAUUGGCAAAUUCUACCAAACAUUUGAAGAAGAAUUAGCAUGA